AGAAGAAACAGGUUAAAGAAUUAGAUGUGGUCCUCACAGGGAAUAUUUGCCCCUGGCCGCAGAUACAAAGGAUGCAUUUCAAGCUCUCCCAAGAACUCUUGCAGUGCUCCAUCCCUGUGUCCUCAGAAAUGGCCCUGAGUCUCAGCAGCUCAAAAAGACUCCAGUUGGAUAGUGAGAAGCCACUGCUUCCUUGCAAGAACCUUCCCAAAUUUCUCUAAUUUCUGGGAGAAUAACAAAAAGAAGGAAGAUUCAGUAGGAAAGGAAAGCAAUGAAGAAGCCAAGAAAGAGACAAGGAACCCUGGAAAGAGAGUCAGCAAAGAGAGAAAUAGAAACAUUAAUUUCAGAGGAGUUGGAAGUGUUGUGAACUAUUAAUCCUUUAGCUUUGCUUUGGACUUGACAGCAAAAGUAGCUGCAUGCAGAAGUAAAAUUGUUAAGAAUGUCACAUAAAAUGUGAGGGUGAGCUCAGCAUGAAGGAACAGCCUCUUCCAUUGGUGAGGUGAAGAAACUGAAGACUUUAGCCAGAGCCAAGUGGCUAAUUCAGAGUUUAAUACACAUUUGACCUCAAACCCUUUGUGGUCACCUUUGAACAGUGCCUCCCUCUCUGAAAUAAAAUACUGGUUCUGUCAUUAAUUAUUAA
RNAcentral lists this long non-coding RNA (637 nucleotides) under Pan troglodytes (chimpanzee). Its description in RNAcentral is "lincRNA". Lineage: Eukaryota; Metazoa; Chordata; Mammalia; Primates; Hominidae. The record is from RNAcentral.